AACGAACGCUGGCGGCAUGCCUAACACAUGCAAGUCGAACGAAGGCUUCGGCCUUAGUGGCGCACGGGUGCGUAACGCGUGGGAAUCUGCCCCUCGGUUCGGAAUAACAGUUAGAAAUGACUGCUAAUACCGGAUGAUGACUUCGGUCCAAAGAUUUAUCGCGGAGGGAUGAGCCCGCGUAAGAUUAGGUAGUUGGUGGGGUCAAGGCCUAGCAAGCCGACGAUCUUUAGCUGGUCUGAGAGGAUGAUCAGCCACACGGGGACUGAGACACGGCCCAGAAUCCUACGGGAGGCAGCAGUGGGGAAUAUUGGACAAUGGGCGAAAGCCUGGUCCAGCAAUGCCGCGUGAGUGAUGAAGGCCUUAGGGUUGUAAAGCUCUUUUACCAGGGAUGAUAAUGACAGUACCUGGAGAAUAAGCUCCGGCUAACUCCGUGCCAGCCGCCGCGGUAA
Molecule: ribosomal RNA, 449 nt
Filed under: uncultured bacterium
Lineage: Bacteria
Description: partial 16S ribosomal RNA
Rfam family: Bacterial small subunit ribosomal RNA
Source: RNAcentral